RNAcentral lists this transfer RNA (67 nucleotides) under Dyscolus rotundiceps. RNAcentral describes it as "tRNA-Arg". Lineage: Eukaryota; Metazoa; Arthropoda; Insecta; Coleoptera; Carabidae. The record is from RNAcentral.
AAAUAAGAAGUAAAAUAUUACAUUUAGUUUCGACCUAAAAAUUUGGUAUACUUAAUACCCUUAUUUA